GAUGAACGCUCGCGGCAGGCCUAAUACAUGCAAGUCGAACGGGAUCCAGAUCAAAGCUUGCUUUGGUCUGGUGAGAGUGGCGCACGGGUGCGUAACGCGUGAGCAACCUACCCUUGUCAGGGGGAUAGCCCGGCGAAAGUCGGAUUAAUACCGCAUGACAUCAUUGAGAGGCAUCUUUCGAUGAUCAAAGAUUUAUCGGACAAGGAUGGGCUCGCGUGACAUUAGCUAGUUGGUAAGGUAACGGCUUACCAAGGCUGCGAUGUCUAGGGGCUCUGAGAGGAGAAUCCCCCACACUGGUACUGAGACACGGACCAGACUCCUACGGGAGGCAGCAGUAAGGAAUAUUGGGCAAGGGACGGAAGUCUGAACCAGCCAUGCCGCGUGCAGGAGGACGGCCCUAUGGGUUGUAAACUGCUUUUAUACGGGAACAAACGUCGGUACGUGUACCGGUCUGAGUGUACCGUAAGAAUAAGGAUCGGCUAACUCCGUG
Molecule: ribosomal RNA, 490 nt
Filed under: uncultured bacterium
Lineage: Bacteria
Description: partial 16S ribosomal RNA
Rfam family: Bacterial small subunit ribosomal RNA
Source: RNAcentral